Long non-coding RNA from Brassica napus (rape), 1645 nucleotides. RefSeq lists it as uncharacterized. NCBI's taxonomy places the organism in Eukaryota, Viridiplantae, Streptophyta, Magnoliopsida, Brassicales, Brassicaceae. The transcript is spliced from 8 exons. The record is from RefSeq and is a predicted model, not a curated record.
AAUUUAUGGCUUCAUCCAUUUGUAGAUCUAAUAUAACGUGUCAUCUAACCUAUACUAAAAGGGUUAUAUGAGGAGUAGAGAGUGUGUCCACGUCAGAUUAAAAAAUCGACCAAUCAGAAGACUCCUUUUUGACACGUCAGCCGGCUCUGGUAAUGUUGGCCUUACGUUUUUUCUUAGCCCAAAUGUUGAAUCUGAAUGGCCACUCAGACAUUAAUCAAUCUAGAUCGAACGAAAGGGCAUGUGUUUGGAUCGGAGAGAGAGAGGGGAGUACGGUUCGGGUUCUUAGAUUUGUUGAGUUCCGAGGAGGUUUAUUAUCGUCGGCGUCUUGAUCUUCGCUGGAGAUACCUUCAACGUUAUCACUUCCAGAUCUGCUCUCAUGCUCCUCUUCACGGCUUCUCCUGUUCGUCGCACUCCCUUCAAAAUUAUUAUCGUUAUUGUUGUUCCUCAUGGACGCUUCUCCACGGUUUGUGAUGAGCAGCUUCGGGUAUAGAUCGGCAUGGAGAAGCGUCUUCAAUUCUUGUGGAAUUCCACCUACACCAUCUUCGUUGCAUAUAAAUACAAAUUGUAUGAGAGACGAAGCCAAAUCCUUUUGUUUUUCCUAAUUCUGAACUUCUGUUCAUUCUCAUUAAAACGUUCUACCAUGGCGACUUUUCAAGUUUAUUUCUCGGAGUUCACACCAGACUACUUUAAUUUUGGGAGGCCCGUCAUGUGAAGAAACGCAGGGAGCUGAUGGGCGUUCAUAUACUGCUUAUUGAUACAAAGGGGACCCUCUUCGAAGCCUCUAUCAGUGUUCACCGCCUUAACAACGCUUAAAAGAAGGCUCCUUUUAUGAGCUGAGUGAUUUUCAUGUUGCAAGAAGCAACCCCAAAUUCAGGUUUGGUAACGCUCUCCUGUUGCGAUUAGAUUUUCGGAACAACCCGUUUAGGUUGAGCUCGCAGAACCGAGUCAACAGAUCCUGGCUGACCGGUUUAGGUUCUGCAAGCAUGACCAACUCAUGUUACUCUUCAACACCAACACUGUUUGCCAGAAUCGGAGAAAUUAGGAGUAUCAAAACGUUUUCAACAAGGAGACCCAACAACGAUGAGUAUGUCGCCGUCAGUAUCUGAAAAGGAAUGAAUAAAAUAAAGACAAACAAGAGCUUUUAGCUGAAGAGAGAGAUUACAAGCGUCGAAGAAUGUGAAACCGUGGCAAGAAGUUGAAACGAACGCCUCGACAGGUGUUGUGUGAUAUGAUUGAAGGAUUUACAGAAGAAAUUAAGCUAGCAGGAGGUAUUGGAUGUUUUGAGAAGAGAAUGUCAUUAUUCUCCUCCUCUUUUAUAGGUCGUCCAUUCUUCAACGCAACCUCCGGAAGACACUUCUACUUUCACUAGGAAACUCUUGCCAGCAACAGGUUUCAUAAAGUAAUGUGUGGUUCUGAAACUGGCUCAUCCUCGACUUCUUUCAGUGAUUUAGAUGUUCAGAAAAUUGAAUCUGUCACGCUAUCGGAGCUGAAUGCCUAUGUCGUUAAUUCUAUCCCACAGGAAACUGAAUUCCUCUGCAAAGCCAAAGUCAGUGACAUCUCCUGUACUAGUGCUAUCGAAAGCUACAGCAUGGCUUCACAUCUUUUACAUGUGCCUGGUGUAAUGACGAGAAGGCUGUUAGGGACU